RNAcentral lists this ribosomal RNA (301 nucleotides) under uncultured bacterium. Its description in RNAcentral is "partial 16S ribosomal RNA". It matches the Rfam family "Bacterial small subunit ribosomal RNA", at positions 509 to 808 of the family's 1533-position model. The record is from RNAcentral.
CAGUAGCCGCGGUAAUACGUAUGUCACAAGCGUUAUCCGGAUUUAUUGGGCGUAAAGCGCGUCUAGGUGGUUAUGUAAGUCUGAUGUGAAAAUGCAGGGCUCAACUCUGUAUUGCGUUGGAAACUGUGUAACUAGAGUACUGGAGAGGUAAGCGGAACUACAAGUGUAGAGGUGAAAUUCGUAGAUAUUUGUAGGAAUGCCGAUGGGGAAGCCAGCUUACUGGACAGAUGCUGACGCUGAAGCGCGAAAGCGUGGGUAGCAAACAGGAUUAGAUACCCGUGUAGUCCCUGUCUCUUAUACA